GAGYGCACUUUAAUGUGACUCUUUGUAUCAACAUUACCACCCAACCCAGAGGUGCAUUGUGGCCUUUAACGAGGUUAGCAGUGUAUCAGUACGUAUCCCAAAGGCAACUUUGAGUUACAUUACCCAUCAUUUACCCCCAUUUACACUUAAGAAGUUUUAAGAAUGAUACCCAUACCUAUAUAACUUUCAGCAAUGGAUCUCUAGGCUCUCACGUCGAUGAAGAACACAGUGAAAUGUGAUACGUAAUGUGAAUUGCAGAAUUCAGUGAAUCAUCGAAUCUUUGAACGCACCUUGCACCUUUUGGUUAUUCCGAAAGGUACACCUGUUUGAAUGUCACAAAACCCCCCUCGGCUCUAAUGCUUUCUAAAAGGAUUUGAGACGGAUUCUGAGUGUUGGCGUGAUCACGCCUCGCUUCAAAUAGAUCAGCACUUUUGGAUGGUUGAAUAUUAGUUUGAAAGACGUACUUGAUGUUGUAUUUAUAUUUCGUUGAGGCAGUCUUUGGUCGUUCCGACUAUCCGCUAAUAUGAAGACUUGAAGAAUAGCUUCCUAACCCUAUGAAUUAACCUU
RNAcentral lists this ribosomal RNA (567 nucleotides) under Melampsora aecidioides. RNAcentral describes it as "eukaryotic LSU rRNA". The stretch from base 182 to 336 matches the Rfam family "5.8S ribosomal RNA". The record is from RNAcentral. Lineage: Eukaryota; Fungi; Basidiomycota; Pucciniomycetes; Pucciniales; Melampsoraceae.